Molecule: ribosomal RNA, 414 nt
Filed under: uncultured organism
Description: SSU rRNA
Rfam family: Bacterial small subunit ribosomal RNA
Source: RNAcentral
GUGCCAGCCGCCGCGGUAAUACGUAGGGUGCGAGCGUUGUCCGGAAUUACUGGGCGUAAAGAGCUCGUAGGUGGUUUGUCGCGUUGUUCGUGAAAUCUCACGGCUUAACUGUGAGCGUGCGGGCGAUACGGGCAGACUGGAGUACUGCAGGGGAGACUGGAAUUCCUGGUGUAGCGGUGGAAUGCGCAGAUAUCAGGAGGAACACCGGUGGCGAAGGCGGGUCUCUGGGCAGUAACUGACGCUGAGGAGCGAAAGCGUGGGGAGCGAACAGGAUUAGAUACCCUGGUAGUCCACGCCGUAAACGGUGGGUACUAGGUGUGGGUUUCCUUCCUUGGGAUCCGUGCCGUAGCUAACGCAUUAAGUACCCCGCCUGGGGAGUACGGCCGCAAGGUUAAAACUUAAAGGAAUUGACGG